AGUGAACGCUGGCGGUAGGCCUAACACAUGCAAGUCGAACGGCAGCACAGUAAGAGCUUGCUCUUACGGGUGGCGAGUGGCGGACGGGUGAGGAAUACAUCGGAAUCUACUUUUUCGUGGGGGAUAACGUAGGGAAACUUACGCUAAUACCGCAUACGACCUACGGGUGAAAGCAGGGGAUCUUCGGACCUUGCGCGAUUGAAUGAGCCGAUGUCGGAUUAGCUAGUUGGCGGGGUAAAGGCCCACCAAGGCGACGAUCCGUAGCUGGUCUGAGAGGAUGAUCAGCCACACUGGAACUGAGACACGGUCCAGACUCCUACGGGAGGCAGCAGUGGGGAAUAUUGGCGAAUGGGCGCAAGCCUGAUCCAGCCAUACCGCGUGGGUGAAGAAGGCCUUCGGGUUGUAAAGCCCUUUUGUUGGGAAAGAAAAGCAGCAGGUUAAUACCCCGCUGUUCUGACGGUACCCAAAGAAUAAGCACCGGCUAACUUCGUG
RNAcentral lists this ribosomal RNA (492 nucleotides) under uncultured bacterium. RNAcentral describes it as "partial 16S ribosomal RNA". It matches the Rfam family "Bacterial small subunit ribosomal RNA", at positions 29 to 507 of the family's 1533-position model. The record is from RNAcentral.